Molecule: long non-coding RNA, 467 nt
Organism: Arachis duranensis
Lineage: Eukaryota; Viridiplantae; Streptophyta; Magnoliopsida; Fabales; Fabaceae
Exons: 3
Source: RefSeq, a predicted model, not a curated record
GGCAUCAUGGUUAUUGUCAAUGGGUCGGUGCUUGCAAUUAUAUUCUACAAUUCCAAUUUCAGGCUGAGCUGCAAAAGAUGUGUGGUAAUGGCAGCCAUGAAGUGUGAAAAGCACCCCAAUUAUCUUCUCUGUUAGCAUACAAAUGAAGUGAGCUUCAAAAGUGGAAAGCAUCCUCUGUUUUUGGUUCUGAUGAGCUUUCAACCUAGCUAGGAUCUUUUCCUUUAGUAACAUCCUCUCUUUGGUUCAUCUCCAUCCGCAUUUUCAGAGACAGGGAAAAGCCUGAAAAGCAUUGUAAUAAUAAUCUUCAGCAAAUUAUUAUGAGAUUCAUUGGCAAACAUGAAUAUAUGUAUUUGAAAUGCUAGUUGAAUUUUUUAAUAUCUACUUUAAUUAGAACUUUAUUAGUUAUUAAGAUUUUAUCUCUUUUAUGAAUUUUAUUGUGUACAAAUUUAUUUGAUAAUUAAAAUGAU